UACAGAGGCCCCAAGCGUUACUGAGAAUCACUGGGUUUAAAGGGUGCGUAGGUGGUCCGUUAAGUCUGUUGUGAAAGCCCUUGGCUCAACCAAGGAAUUGCUUCGGAUACUGGCGGACUUGAGGCUAGUAGAGGUCACUGGAACUGACGGUGGAGCGGUGAAAUGCGUAGAUAUCGUCAGGAACGCCGGUGGUGAAGACGG
This 201-nucleotide ribosomal RNA is filed under the name uncultured bacterium. RNAcentral describes it as "partial 16S ribosomal RNA". It matches the Rfam family "Bacterial small subunit ribosomal RNA", at positions 524 to 724 of the family's 1533-position model. The record is from RNAcentral.